Long non-coding RNA from Tyto alba (common barn owl), 3958 nucleotides. RefSeq lists it as uncharacterized. Lineage: Eukaryota; Metazoa; Chordata; Aves; Strigiformes; Tytonidae. The record is from RefSeq and is a predicted model, not a curated record. The transcript is spliced from 2 exons.
GACGUUUAUACCUUCAUGGCCCCGCAGCCAGAGGACCGCGGCCAAGGCCGAAGCCAGCGCAGCCACGGUGGCGGCGCCCCGGCCCCACAUCCUCCCGUGGGCGGAGAGAUGGAAGCAAGUUCUGGUGCUGCAGAACCCUCAAAAGUUGUUUGUGGAAUCGGUGAAGUUUCCAGGACCCAAUUCUCAAUUCAUGUGCAGAAGAAAACGUAAGGUGAUCUGUGGGCUUCCUCUGCGCCAAAGUUGUUCAGAUUGUUAUGCACAACCUUGACAUCAACUAGAACAGUCUUGCUACUGCUAUAAGCCAAGUUGACUGUAAAAACUUUGAGCAAAGCACACUGCUGCUCCUGAAACAUUGUACUGCUCUGUGUCUAACUCAAGGUACCUUCAUUUGGUAUAGUGCUGGCUGCCAUGUCCGUACCAUCUACAGUAUAAAUCCAUAACUGCUAGUGCCAUCUCUGAGCCCAGCACCAGCAAUGUUACUUAACAGGGGGAUGAGGCAGGAAAAAAGAGCCUUUACAGAACUACAGAAGGUAAAAGGUGUGCGAGGCAAAAGUUCACAUGCUCAUCAUAGAGAAAAAACAACUGCAAGUCACCUAUUUCUUUAAGCAUAUACUGUACUGUGCAUUUUUUAUUGAGCUUCCUGUUCUGACAGUCCUGUCACUUUGUCUGCUUGUAAGUCUGCUUGUCCCACUCUUACCUGGAGGGAGGAAUGACCCAGUGGAGUUCCCUUUCAUGCUCUGGGCAAAAUCCUUCUCGAUUCAUUGCUUGUUGCUCCUUUGCUGGCCCCUACCUCUUUCUCAGAGUCUUGCCCCACCUUCCUCAGCUCUUGAUCUCAGCCUUCAGUUCCAGCAUUUUAACCCUUUUCUAGCUGCACUGUCACCACAACAUAUUCUCCUUAUUAGUGGAAUAAUUACUACAACCUCUUCUUCCCCUUUGCUACACAAAGAAAGGCUAGCCAUCAAUGCCUGGCCUGAGAAUGUCCUACUGCUGUCAAGGUAGGCAAGAGCUUGGAGCUUAGUAGUAGAUGGCAGCAGUCACUGGUAGCUGGUGCUUGCUGGGAGCAGAAUGUCUGUACAUAGAUAGGGUGAGGUAUGGACUUUAAGCUAGAUGUCCCUAGGUAGGCACCCCAAAAUAAUGACCACUAUGGACCAUGUUGUGGUUUCUUCUGCAGGUUCCUGCUGAAUCUUUGUUCACAAUAUUUUUGAUUUUUGUUUCUGAUGACUUUGCACCCACUCAGCACGUAAGCCUGAGCCCUUUGCCAUCCAUUUGGUAACUGUUGUGCAACCCGGCCUACCCAAGCCAUUCCAAGGUGAGCGUGGACAGCAGGUGGCAAUAGCAGAGCUUGCAACAUCCUUUGAUUGCGUUCUCUCAACUCAAAUAAUUGUCAGCCUAUACUGGAAUCACCGUUUAAUGUCAUAAAUAUUAUAUCUGUGUUAACAUGUCCAUGCACAUAGCUGCAACAGGAGGUUUAAGCAUUCAUAUGGAGUGAGGGAAUGGAAGAACUCAGAAGUAAUAAGUAGCUUUAAUUGAAACUGCCCAUAAAAUAUGACCAGAGAUUUCUUUGUUGUUGAAAUGGGAAUCUGGAAGCACUUUUCAUCAUGAAAAAAUGAAAAAGUAGAAAGUCUUAAUUUCAUUUGAAUAUUUACCUAGCUAAAUUGUAGGAGUUAGCAUUGAUAGUGGUAAUAGAGAAGGCAGUAAUGGUGUAUGUGUUAAGAUAAAAAGGGGGCCAGUCCUGCAGAUGUUAUAGCAGUACUAUUUACUGCCAUAAAAGUGAGUGGAAUGAACAUGUUUUACACCAAAUAUUAUGUUUCUCUUAGUACAGGACAAAAUGUGGGUUUAUAUGGCAUAAAUUUUAGUUUGUUAGUUUUCAUGUUUCUCUAGGCUACAAACAAACUAAAAAUAUUACAACAUCUGAAGCUAUAAUAAUCAUUCCUGUCACUACACUUCUCUACAUUUCUGUAUUCAAGAGAAAGGAUAGCAGCAAACAAUUAACAACAAUCUGUUACAGAAAUGCAUCAUUAUGCUUUGGUUUACCUACAAUGUUUACUAAAUAGGGAUGUCACACAGGCAGAAGAAGGGAAAGGAAACUGUAAAUGAGAAGUAUACCCACACCUGAUUAAAUACUGUUUCUUACAGCUUCUGUAACUCUUCAUCUUUUUACCAGAGCAGUACAGACACUAUCACUUCUAUACUUAUUCAUUAUAAUAACAGUUGCCAAGCUCUGUGCUUCACUACAUAAUUUUUGUUUUAUCCAAAAUGAACAGGAAGAUUUUUUUUUUCUUUUUGCUGAGUGCUAAUGGUGAAAAAAACAGAUCUCAAGGAAACAAUAAAUAGGUUUCUAUUUUGUCCUCUUCUUAGAGCAGCCAAUAAGAAUAUACUGCAAUAGAAGCGAAGAGGGUUUUUUGGGGCUCACCUGACUUCUUCAAACAAGCUCCUGAUAUAUAGUGCAAACAAACAUGUAUAAACUUGCACACCUCUUAAGCAACAUCCAAAAAGUUAAAGCAAAUGGUCUCUUUUUCAAUAGGGAAUAAUGAGACUCUUAAGAAAGUAAAUACUGUGCAGUUAUAUGGUUUUCCAUAAAACUGCUUUUGCUCUGUCCUUUGGUGGCAGAAGGUAACAUUUGCCAAAUCCAUUAACUUACACAAUUUAGAACACUGCUAUUACUAUGAAAUAUACUACUCAUUUAUAUAAAUUUUUCACUGUUCAAUAGUUAUGUGAUGCUUGCUUUUAGUUGUGUUGCAGCUGAGCCUGGAGGCUUUGCCUGGGUAUCAUCUUACCCAUUGUACAUACAGAGAAGUCAACCUCUUGCUCAAAACUCAGCUUUAUGUGCAUUUAAGAGAGACACAGAUACUCACAAUGAUGGACAGAUUUGUAAAGGAUAAAUUGGUUUUACCUUAAGUGACGCAGUUCAGUUCAGCCUUGGAAACACAUAAGUAUAUAUUGAACAUGACUGUUAGAAGACUACAUGCUAUAUCCACAAAGGGAUUUGAACGCUGAAAGGUUCCUCUUUCAGGUACCUUGCUUCAUUUUGUUUUGUUUUGGGUUUGGUUUUGGUUGUGUUGGGUUUUUUUGUUUGUUUUGUUUUGUUUUGUUUUUUUUCCUGUAAUAUGUUGCUAAUCAUCUCACAGAUUCAUCAUAUCAACUUUAGUAGUUGUGUCCCCAGAUUUUUCUAGCGACUUCAUAGUUGCUUUCCCCACAACCCCCUAAGCCUUGCAUUUGGAGUCAGUCUCAGAUUGCUGUAAUGCCAUGGGUGAUGUUGUUGCCUUCAGUUGCUUCUGGAUUUGUGCAUAAUCUUGUUGCCCGAAGGGAAAAGCUGUAGUUCUCUUUCCUCCCUGUGAGAGCUGUUAAUACUAAGUUUUCCUGAGAUCUUGUAUAUGGAGAAUAUACUCUAGUCCUUAAUAUGCCUACUCUUCAAUAUGGAAGUGUUAAAAUCUAACAGGCAUACCUGAGUUUGAUUACAGCAUCCUCUACUUGAGAGUCAGCAUAUAUACAUGUGUAUUGUUUCUUCUUGUUGUUGCCACAGCUGUGUGAGUGUAUGGGCAGCAACAAUUAAUUUUCUUCAUGCCAAGGCCAGCUCUGCAAGUUUUACUGGUAUAGGUAAUCCCAUUGGAGGAGGAGAAGGUAAUUUAAAAAUAAAAGCCAAAAUAGGCUAAGAGGGUGGAUAUAACUAUGUUGUUAUAAAGAUGACACAUCAGAAUGAUGAUUUUCCUUGCCAUAUGGGAAUACCUAUCACAAUAAAAAGCACAUUUAUACAAAUAUAACUAUAGGCAUGUUACGAAGUUGAGGUAGCAGGGAGAUUGUAUCGCUUUAGUUCUAUCAUGAUAAUUAAAAUGGUACCUAUUCUUGACAGACGAGCCCCAAGUAGCCUAUGCCAAUUUUGAAUUACUUCAUUUGGCCAAUUGUUUUCCACAAAGAAGCUUGUCCUUUCACAUGAAGUAAAAUAAACUUUUCAAACCCA